CUUUUCUCCCCGAAGAGGACCCUGGGAAGGUGGCUCCCGCCUCACUCCUAGAGUGAAAUCCUCGCAGCCCUGCCCUCGCGGGCGGAGCAGAGACGCCGCCGCUUGGCCGGUUCACGCCUGUCACACAAAGCCGCCGAGGGUCGGCUGCGCCCCUGGCAAGGCUGUAGGGCUGGGGAUACUGAGUAUGACAGGCGAGGUCCCUGCUCUCAAGAACUUACAUGGGAGAGAAGGGGAGACAAGAUAAACAGAUGGAGCAACUCAACCCAAAAAGGUUGGUCUGUAUGGUGACGGAAUGUGGUCUCCCAGUUUUCAGCACAGCACUCAUUCAGCUAUUCUGCUCUUCAGAAAGCAGGAGGGAUGUGCCCUAAGGUGGACUAUUGAAAUGAUGAAAGCCACUGAGGAAGAGCCAGAGAAUUCUCGUAGCUGUGAUUAGACAUCAACCUUGGGCAUGCUAAACAUUUCAGCCUGGACACCCUGAGAAGAGCCAGUGCCACUGGUGACAGCUGCUUCUGUGCGGGCUUUUGCUUGGCCAGAGAGGCAGGACCUUCUCCCUGGCAUUUUGAGGAGUGGUGCCGGGUGGGCAGUGACUGCACUAGCAACAGUCUAUACCAAGAGAAGACCUCAAAUUCCCAGAGAAGAAAGGCAGCGAGGCCAAGAAAUGCUGCCGCCGCUUAACAAGUGAAGAUGCAUACUGGAGAAUAGGAACUGAACACGCGAAGGAGUUUCGGCUUUACUGCCUUCUCUCCUAGCAUUGAACAGAUCUUCUCUGCUGUUGAUUAUUCUCCAUGAAUCAUCAUCCAUAGAAAGUGACUGAGGCAAUAGAGAGUGAAUAAUGAAUCUCUCAAAUAGUCUUUUGUGUUUCUGCCUGGAGGGUUUUGGAAAUAACUUGCAUCUUAAUCUUUCUGACUUAGAAUCAUAGAAUUUGGGAGCUGAAAAGGACCUUCAUCAGGGCAUGUGGCCUCACAGAAAGACUGGAAGAAAAGAUUUGUGGGUAUGAGCCUCUGGUUCAUCACUAAAAAUAGGCCUAGUCUAACAUAUAUUGGAGGCUUUCCUUGUGUCAGGUACUCAUUUAUUCUUCCAAAACCUUGGGAGGUAGGUGCUGCUAUUCCUCCAUUCUGCAGAGGAGGAAGAGAUGAGGAGACAGUAGAUCACCAGAGGGCAGUGUGAGGGGUGUGCUGGAACCAUCAUGUGGAACUGGCUCUGGUUCCAGAAUCCACAUCCUCUCGGUCAUUCCACUCCCACAUCAAGUGGCUUUGGACAAGUAAUUUAACUUCUUUGGAUCUCAGUUUUCUCCUCCGUGAUCUCUAAAGUUUAAAAAUUACUAACAGUCUGCAUCUGCCACCCAAGCAUGUGAUUUUACAAGUCAGAAAAGUGUAGCGCAGAAAUGUUAAGUGACCUGCCCUAGGUCACCCAGGUUGCUAAGGGCAGAAUCAGCACAGAAACCCAGGCCCAGUGACCACUGCCCCCAGGCAAGACCUCCUUCCCUUCCACUGCACUUUGGCAGGUGUUCUAGGGGAAUCCAACUCCUUGCCUUAGAGGAGACCUGUUCAAUGAUAUCAGAUAGACUGGAGAUGUUACGUUUUGGUGUGGCCAAUCACAACACCAGGAUGAGCUUAGGAGGCUGGUGAUAUUUGUCUAUCUAAGCACCCCCAACCUAUCUAUCUGUCUGCUGUUUGUCUAUCUUUCUCAGGUUAUGCAUAGUGACCAAACCCCGCCUGGUAACUGUAGGGAAAGAGCAUGACUGGUGUGUUACAGCUACACACGCCCCCUGGUGGUAUUUCCAGUUGUUUGUCCUCUUCAUGCAAAUGUUGCCACCUUGUGCCAGCUCUCUCACCUAGCUUCCUUCAUGACGACAGUGGUUGCAAUUCUGCUCCUCUCUCUGCCUUCCCCUGUCCUUGGCUCCCCAUGUCCAGAAUCUGAUCAUUUACUGGUGUGCACCCUGGGAUGUGAUGUGUGCUUUGGGAGGAGACAGGACCCAACAGUAUCUCAGCUGUGCUCUGGUAAUCAGUGUGCACCACAUUACAAGCAUCCUCAUCCCAGUAUCCUCCCUAUUGAAAAAGAAAUGGGAAAGGGGUGGAUGUGUCAAUAAACACAACAUUGAAGGCAUCUGAAAUAGAACAAGGACAUCCUGGGUGAGGCAUU
This 2142-nucleotide long non-coding RNA is filed under the name Homo sapiens (human). RNAcentral's name for it is "non-protein coding INKA2-AS1:19". The record is from RNAcentral. Lineage: Eukaryota; Metazoa; Chordata; Mammalia; Primates; Hominidae.